RNAcentral lists this ribosomal RNA (270 nucleotides) under uncultured archaeon. RNAcentral's name for it is "partial 16S ribosomal RNA". It matches the Rfam family "Archaeal small subunit ribosomal RNA", at positions 477 to 747 of the family's 1478-position model. The record is from RNAcentral.
CAGCACCUCAAGUGGUCAGGAUGAUUAUUGGGCCUAAAGCAUCCGUAGCCGGCGCUGUAAGUUUUCGGUUAAAUCUGUACGCUCAACGUACAGGCUGCCGGGAAUACUGCAGCGCUAGGGAGUGGGAGAGGUAGACGGUACUCGGUAGGAAGGGGUAAAAUCCUUUGAUCUAUUGAUGACCACCUGUGGCGAAGGCGGUCUACCAGAACACGUCCGACGGUGAGGGAUGAAAUCUGGGGGAGCAAACCGGAUUAGAGACCCGAGUAGUCC